Molecule: long non-coding RNA, 1151 nt
Filed under: Felis catus (domestic cat)
Lineage: Eukaryota; Metazoa; Chordata; Mammalia; Carnivora; Felidae
Description: lncRNA (ENSFCAG00000053441.1)
Source: RNAcentral
UCCCCGCCCUCCUUUCUUUUUUCUCUUCCGUCUCUCCUUUCCGGCUGGGCGGCAGCCAGCCUGUGUCGUGAAAAUCACGAAAAGCCUUGCUCUCUGGACAGAGGGCCGCUCGGCUUGGUGACCAGUGAGCGGAGAUGAAGCUGGAUUUUAGCUUCGGCCCGCUCCCUGGGCCAGGCAUUGUUGAGCAAUGCACAACCUGUGCAACAGUACAGGGAGGCCCGACCAUUCAUCUACCCCUUCGCCGAGUGCUGACUGAGCAUCAGGCCUUGGGCUGGGCUCUGAAGACGCAGAGAGGGUCGGAUGCUAUGUGUGUCCUCCAGGGGCUCACACUGGACGAAGUCAACACGCUAUAGAAUGACCCUCAGGGCUGUCGGCGCAGGAAGCAGAAGGGGCUCUGAGGGCUCUGACCAGAGGAGGCAGAGUGAGGGAAGCUCUUGACCAGGAUGGGGGUGGUGGAGCUGAGAACAGGGGGAGGGACGUAGGUUUGAUGAGGCAAGAGGGAGAGGAAGGCUGUUCUGUUCUGGACACGUAGGAGCCCCCGUGGGUAGAUGGAAGGGGUGACGCGGGGCCGGGGAGAAGACGAACCUCACGGCGAGAUCUUUCCAAACACUUGUGUUUCGCUAAGCCGGGCUAAGCAGGAUUUGCUGUUGCCUAGGGGACCGUCCUCAGGAUUCCAGGGGUGGGAAGCGCUCGGGGGUUGGGGCCACAGAAGGACGUUCCUCUCCGCCGCCCUCCCCGUCGGCGGCGCCCAUCUGUCCCUGGCAUCAGAGCCCUGGAAGGAGACACCGCCGAGAAUUCCCAGCCCAGGACCCAGGAGCAGUGGGGAGCCAGCCAGCCCAGGGUUCGAGGUUACGGAGGCCCUUCCUUCGGCAGCACAGAAUCACACGGACCCCCCACUUCCCAUUUGGGAAUGGGUACUGGGGGGUUCUUUUUUUAAGAUGCUCUCAGGGAAGUGUCAGCUGAGAAAACGUGGCUGGCGUGGCGGGCACGGUGCCCGGCGCAUAGCUGAGGUCAAGGCUCUCCCGUCGCUGCUUGAGGCCACCUCACUGAGGAGCUGUCCUGGAAUCCGUGCCGUCCAAUCGAAUCUUCUCAUCUCCGUGAUCACCUCUGUCCCCAAAUUCUUUUCUCGCUAUACCUCUUUUCAUUUCUAG